GAUGAUUAAGAAUGCCUAGAAGAGGGUGAAUAAGCCAAUUUAAUAUUAUAAUUAAUAAACAAAAAUUAAACUUCGGUAGCAAGAUUGAUAUGGCUUAGCAAUCCUGAAACGUGAUGAGCAUAAAUAAAGGAACAUGCAAAGAAUUACUUUACGUGGUAAAACCCCACCUCUGGGAAAAAUUCACGGACUCCUCAGUCCAAAAGAGUCCACUAUAGAACGAUGAUUACAAGAAGCACACACACACUUAUCCUAGGCAUUCUAGAUAAUGUUUACCGACUUCUUCGUAACUCAACUUCUGUUACGGAAUGACAUUCGACACUCCUUAUGUUGAAAGCAAUAUUGGUCACGAUUGCUUCAAGCUCGCUGG
RNAcentral lists this long non-coding RNA (367 nucleotides) under Prunus persica (peach). Its description in RNAcentral is "long non-coding RNA (PPER_LNC002021)". Lineage: Eukaryota; Viridiplantae; Streptophyta; Magnoliopsida; Rosales; Rosaceae. The record is from RNAcentral.